This 1503-nucleotide ribosomal RNA is filed under the name Daphnia pulex (common water flea). Its description in RNAcentral is "SSU rRNA". It matches the Rfam family "Eukaryotic small subunit ribosomal RNA". Lineage: Eukaryota; Metazoa; Arthropoda; Branchiopoda; Diplostraca; Daphniidae. The record is from RNAcentral.
GUUGCGUUUCACGCUCUGGGAGCCCGGGUGUCAAAGCCCGACUCUCUUCACGGUCGGACAACAUCGCCGGAGUGGUGGUCGGUGCGUCGUUGUUGUAUCUGCGGCCAGAGUUGGAAAGUUCUUUCGGGUUCUUUUUUAAUUUUGGUCGUAGUUGACUCGAUUCGCUCCACCCAGUCAAUCGUUCGGGGUGCCCUUCACCGGGUGUCUCGGGCGGCCGGCAACGUUUACUUUGAACAAAUUAGAGUGCUCAAAGCAGGUGUAUCCCAACGCCUGAAUAUCGCAGCAUGGAAUGAUGGAAUAGGACCUCGGUCCGAUUUUGCUGGUCUUUUACUUUUGGACCCGAGGUAAUGGUCAAUAGAGACGGACGGGGGCAUUCGUACUGCGGCGACAGAGGUGAAAUUCUUGGACCGCCGCAAGACGAACAACAGCGAAGGCAUUUGCCAAGAAUGUUUUCCUUGAUCAAGAACGAAAGUUAGAGGUUCGAAGGCGAUCAGAUACCGCCCUAGUUCUAACCAUAAACGAUGCCAACCAGCAAUCCGUCGGAGUUACUCCAAUGACUCGACGGGCAGCUUCCGGGAAACCAAAGUCUUUGGGUUCCGGGGGAAGUAUGGUUGCAAAGCUGANACUUAAAGGAAUUGACGGAAGGGCACCACCAGGAGUGGAGCCUGCGGCUUAAUUUGACUCAACACGGGAAACCUCACCAGGCCCGGACACUGGAAGGAUUGACAGAUUGAGAGCUCUUUCUUGAUUCGGUGGGUGGUGGUGCAUGGCCGUUCUUAGUUGGUGGAGCGAUUUGUCUGGUUAAUUCCGAUAACGAACGAGACUCUAGCCUGCUAAAUAGGUGACGGGUUUUAUCAAUUGAAACCGAAGGGAGUACGGAGGCGUCGGGAUCAGGUGGCGGCGAUUCGGGUCUCGGUGGGACUGGUUCCUUUAGUGAGGCAAUCUCUCGGCUUGGUUUCGUUGUGCUUUGUUCGUCGGGUGUACGGCCUUCACGGGUUGGUUGCCUGGCGGAUGAGGUAUGGCGGGGCUUUGUCGGGAAUGUCUCGCGGGGGCUGGCUCUAUUGUUAUUCGGUCGUCGUCAUCCCCGGCGAUACCUUCUGCUCUCGCGUCCGUCACGCAGUCUUCUUAGAGGGACAAGCGGCGUCCAGCCGCGUGACAGUGAGCAAUAACAGGUCUGUGAUGCCCUUAGAUGUCCUGGGCCGCACGCGCGCUACACUGAAGGAAUCAGCGUGUUUCACUCUCCCUGUCCGAAAGGACCGGGUAACCGCUGAACCUCCUUCGUGGUUGGGAUUGGGGACUGCAAUGAUCCCCAUGAACCAGGAAUCCCUAGUAGGCGCGGGUCACUAGCCCGCGUCGAUUACGUCCCUGCCCUUUGUACACACCGCCCGUCGCUACUACCGAUUGAAUGAUUUAGUGAGGCCUUCGGACGGGCUUGUCGGGGUGCCGUCGAGUGGGGAGCAAUCUCUGCCCGUGCGGUGCCUACCAACGGCGAGACUGAAAGAU